RNAcentral lists this ribosomal RNA (373 nucleotides) under uncultured organism. Its description in RNAcentral is "partial 16S ribosomal RNA". It matches the Rfam family "Bacterial small subunit ribosomal RNA", at positions 527 to 896 of the family's 1533-position model. The record is from RNAcentral.
GUAGGUGGCAAGCGUUGUCCGGAAUUAUUGGGCGUAAAGCGCGCGCAGGUGGUUCUUUAAGUCUGAUGUGAAAGCCCCCGGCUCAACCGGGGAGGGUCAUUGGAAACUGGGGAACUUGAGUGCAGGAGAGGAAAGUGGAAUUCCACGUGUAGCGGUGAAAUGCGUAGAUAUGUGGAGGAACACCAGUGGCGAAGGCGACUUUCUGGCCUGUAACUGACACUGAGGCGCGAAGGCGUGGGGAGCAAACAGGGAUUAGAUACCCUGGUAGUCCACGCCGUAAACGAUGAGUGCUAAGUGUUGGGGGGGUUUCCGCCCCCUCAGUGCUGCAGCUAACGCAUUAAGCACUCCGCCUGGGAGUACGGUCGCAAGACUG